CCUACGGGAGGCUGCAGUGGGGAAUAUUGCACAAUGGGCGCAAGCCUGAUGCAGCCAUGCCGCGUGUGUGAAGAAGGCCUUCGGGUUGUAAAGCACUUUCAGCGGGGAGGAAGGCGUUAAGGUUAAUAACCUUGGCGAUUGACGUUACCCGCAGAAGAAGCACCGGCUAACUCCGUGCCAGCAGCCGCGGUAAUACGGAGGGUGCAAGCGUUAAUCGGAAUUACUGGGCGUAAAGCGCACGCAGGCGGUCUGUCAAGUCGGAUGUGAAAUCCCCGGGCUCAACCUGGGAACUGCAUUCGAAACUGGCAGGCUAGAGUCUUGUAGAGGGGGGUAGAACUCCAGGUGUAGCGGUGAAAUGCGUAGAGAUCUGGAGGAAUACCGGUGGCGAAGGCGGCCCCCUGGACAAAGACUGACGCUCAGGUGCGAAAGCGUGGGGAGCAAACAGGAUUAGAUACCCGUGUAGUC
This 465-nucleotide ribosomal RNA is filed under the name uncultured Klebsiella sp. Its description in RNAcentral is "bacterial SSU rRNA". It matches the Rfam family "Bacterial small subunit ribosomal RNA", at positions 338 to 795 of the family's 1533-position model. The record is from RNAcentral. Lineage: Bacteria; Pseudomonadati; Pseudomonadota; Gammaproteobacteria; Enterobacterales; Enterobacteriaceae.